GCGGGGUUUGGACGCGGUGGCGUCACACGCACGGAGGAGGCGGGUCUUACGAAGCAGAGCGAAGCAGAUGGCGGUUUCUGCUUCGGGGCCACCAGGAAAAUGGAUCUGUCGCCAUCCGCGGCGACCGAGUCCAGUCCGCGGCCUGGAGGGGUGCAGGAACAGCCGUGCUUGUGUCCUGCCUGCUGGAGGCGUCCGAUUGGCUCCUGCGACGACAAAAUGGUGGACUGGAGGAGCCUUUGGGAGCUGGGGAAAUUAACGCUACCUUGCAGAGAUUCUCUUUGGGAUGGUGCCAUUUAGAGAGGAACUUGGCUAAGAAGACUGCGAUGUUCCUCAUGCUUACAAGAAAGUCCAGUUGGGCUUAACCUGUGAAGUUUCCAGGCUAUUCUCUUUGUGAUGAUGUCAUUUAGAGAGGAACUUGGCUAAGAAGACUGCGAUGUUCCGCAUGCUUACAAGAAAGUCCAGUUGGGCUUAACCUGUGAAGUUGCCAGGCUAUUCUCUUUGUGAUGAUGUCAUUUAGAGAGGAACUUGGCUAAGAAGACUGCUAUGUUCCGCAUGCUUACAAGAAAGUCCAGUUGGGCUUAACCUGUGAAGUUGCCAGGCUAUUCUCUUUGUGAUGAUGUCAUUUAGAGAGGAACUUGGCUAAGAAGACUGCGAUGUUCCGCAUGCUUACAAGAAAGUCCAGUUGGGCUUAACCUGUGAAGUUGCCAGGCUUUCAAGAUGUGAGCUCGGAUCACGUUGGAUCCAGCAGCGCUGAGUGAAGUGGAUCCUUCCUUAGUGACCUUCUCAGACCACACCGCCUGGCAAUUAACCCACCAGACGGACUUGAGUCCCAGCUCUGAACAGUGUUUCAGCUCCGCGAAAGAACCCUGGAGAAAGAGGUGCUGAGCAGAGCAGUGCAGCUGCUAGGAUAAGUGACUGAUCCCUGCUCAACAACUGCUGUUGCCUUAAUAUCUGAGCCCGACCAGCCGGCUGUUGCGUUUAACCCGUGGGCGCGGCGUUGCGCUUUCCCCCGGCUCACCCAUCCCGUUCUGAGUCAUUUCGCUGGGUGACAAAAUCUGGGGAGGAUGGCAAACCUGAAAGAGGAAGUCUCUGGUCAUAGCGCAAGAUUCUUUUAAUAAAUAAGCAAAUGCAGUAAA
Molecule: non-coding RNA, 1136 nt
Organism: Podarcis muralis (Common wall lizard)
Lineage: Eukaryota; Metazoa; Chordata; Lepidosauria; Squamata; Lacertidae
Source: RefSeq, a predicted model, not a curated record